GCAGUUCUUCCAAAAAAUGAUAAGAGAUAAGAGUUCUUCCAAAAGAUAACACAAUUUUUAUUUUAUCAGCGUGACCAACCCAGAAACACCAAAAUAUAAAAUCACAUUCUAUCAGUCUGCCAAUUCUAUUAGAAUAAAAGUAACUAAAAUAUAACUAACGUUUAUCAGAGUUAACUGUUAUCUCUAGAACUAAACGGCAAUAAUUCAAAUGAUAAAAAAAAAUAACCGUGUUAAAAUAUAUUAUAUUUUCUUAAAUAGUACACAUUUUUACGAUACAUUUAUAAUGACAAAAAACCAACUAGUUCAUAUGACGACAACGAUAAUUAUUGUAUGAUGGUAGUCGUCUGAAGUCAUAAAAAGUUUAUCGGUAUGCUUAUUCAUUAGAGCGGUUCGAUUCCUGCAACUAUCUCUAGUCUGAUUAAGUGUGGUAACAGUUUUAAGAUGAGUCAAAGAUGAUGGUUGAACAGUUCUCCAUUGACACUAAUUGGAAGAAAUAAUUGUUUUAUCAUUUGUCUAAAUAGACUAGCUAGAAUGUGACCAGAGGAAGAUUAAAUGGACAUAUCAUAUAUUUCUCCAUGGACACUGUAGUAAUCCAUAGACUGACUUUUGACACUAUAUUUGAAUAUUUGUUGUCAACGUUAAUUGGAUUUUGUGCAAAACCCCUGGAAGAAUAUUUUGUAUCAGACUAACAGUAUAAACGCCACCCAGUAAUUCUGUUUACCUGCUGUUAGACAUUGUAGUAUCAUCUCCAAUCUCUUUAUAUAUUGUUUAAUUUUAUUUAAAAAAGUCUUAUUAUAAUUUAUUAUUAAUCAAGUGUAAUUCAGUUGAUUAUUUAUUGAAUAACUUAUUAUCCUGUCUUCAAUGUCCAUAUAAACUCUACUGUAUUUAUGACCACUACACUGAUAUCUCAUUUGCCUAAAUAUUUUUAAUU
Molecule: long non-coding RNA, 931 nt
Organism: Adelges cooleyi (spruce gall adelgid)
Lineage: Eukaryota; Metazoa; Arthropoda; Insecta; Hemiptera; Adelgidae
Exons: 4
Source: RefSeq, a predicted model, not a curated record